Molecule: long non-coding RNA, 605 nt
Organism: Aedes aegypti (yellow fever mosquito)
Lineage: Eukaryota; Metazoa; Arthropoda; Insecta; Diptera; Culicidae
Exons: 2
Source: RefSeq, a predicted model, not a curated record
AGCAAAAUACAUUUAUAUAGCAGGGCAUCUUUGUACGGGGAAGGAAGCUAUUCUCUAUGGUGUUAUUACACAUUAUUGCAGCAGCAAUUUUAGUUGAUGAUGGUGAAGUAGGCGGUGUGUAUGUCACCUUAAAUCGUGUAAAUUUGUGCUAGUGAGACAAGCAGAACCGAAAAAAUUCUGCUAGAUUUUCGAAAAUAGUUAAUUUUAAUGUCUACACGUCGUCGAAUUGCGUCGUAUUAGCGUAUAUGUGAUUGGUAUUCCGGAGUUGAGAAUUUUUUGCUGGACAAGAUGGAUCCUUCUUCGAUAAUCGUGCUCGAUUCCUCAGACGAAGAGUCUGGAGAACCGAAGCGUCGUAAGGUGCUCCCUCCAAACCCCGGCAGGACUUAAUGGUGGUGCCCAUACGUUGAACAAGAAUCCCGAACCUAACAAAAUCCGGCGCAUCAAGCCAAUAACCAUUGCCACCAAUCUCAGCAAGGAAGCGGAAAAUAACAAUCGGACACCGGUCAAUGAAAACUUUGCCGUUAUCAGCUUCUCCGAUGAAUGGGAAAAGGAUCACCUGAAGUACCAACAGAUAAUAAAGGAACAUGAACAGCAAAGACAACGGA